CUGACCUUGUGACCCACCCGCCUCGGCCUCCCAAAGUGCUGGGAUUACAGGUGUGAGCCACCGCGCCCACCUAUUUUUUAUUUUUUGAGACGGAGUCUCACUCUGUCACCCAGGCUGGAGUGCAGUGGCACGAUACCGGCUUACUGCAACCUCCGUCUCCUGGGUUCAAGCGAUUCUCCUGCCUCAGCCUCCUGACUAGCUGGGAUUACAGUAGAGACGGGGUUUCACCAUUUUGGCCAGGCUGGUCUUGAACUUCUCACCUUGUGAUCCACCCGCCUCAGCCUCCCAAAGUGCUGGGAUUACAGGCGUGAGCCACCGCGCCUGGUGAGCCCUCUUAUUUUUAUAACAUGCUUCCUAUGUGUUGAUUUUGUUUUCCCUAUUAGGGUAAAUUUUUGAAGGCAGGAGGCAUCUCUUAUAUCCUGUAGUGAUGAGCAUAAUACGAGUUGUUCAAUAAAUACACAUUUGGCAAAGAUGAGAGAGGUGGAGAGAGAAAGAGGUUCCUCUGCUGAAGAAGUGUGAUUACUUUUGGGUUUUGUCUACCUCAUGUGGUACCCAUUUCUAGCAGGGAAUUUCUUCCACUUGCAGACCAAGUGUGUUGGGGACUUGAGAUGCGUACAUGAGUGUGAUGUUUCCUGCUGAAAGCACAGGUGAGACGUGGUCUUGUAACACAGUGGUUAAGAAUGUGACUUUGGAGCCAGCCUGCUAGGGGCUGAAUUCUGACUCAGCCAUUUACUAACUGUGUGACCUUAGGGAGGAGGACCUGGUUGAUAGAAGAAUUUAUCUCGUAGUCUUAACAUCCACUGUAAUUCCAAACUUUGAGGACGAUAGAGAUCAGUGGGCUUUGACUGCCCAGCAUGCAGUCUCCAUUCUUAGGUGGGUUCCCAAGCCUGUAAAAUGUAAGCCUUAUGCUGCUGAGGGCCAUCUUGCCACCCUGAGGGAAACGCUGCCUGAGAAUGAAACAAGCAUAAGUAAAAGCUGAGCUGUGAGAUGGAGCAAGAUGAAGGCCACAUGACAUCUUUGGAGCACCUGGAUCUAACUGUGCCUUAAGCUAGUCUAACCCUGAACAUUUCAUCAUUUCAUUGACAUGAGCCCAGGUUUUCUUUUUUUUUGGAUGGAGUCUUGCUCUGUCGCCCAGGCUGGAGUGCAGUAGCUCAAUCUCGGCUCACUGCAAGCUCCACCUCCCGGGUUCACGCCAUUCUCCUGCCUUAGCCUCCCAAGUAGCUGGGACAACAGGCGCCCACCACCACUCCCAGCUAAUUUUUUGUAUUUUUAGUAGAGACGGGGUUUUACCAUGUUAGCCGGGAUGGUCUUGAUCUCCUGACCUCAUGAUCCGCCCGCCUCGGCCUCCCAAAGUGCUGGGAUUACAGGUGUGAGCCACUGCACCCAGCCCUCAGGUUUUCCCUUUUUUUACCCCUCCUUUUGAAAAUUUGAUGUGGAAUUUUGCCACCUGCAGCCAGAAGAGUUUUAACUAAUCAGUGCCAUAAAUUUUAUAUAGUUCUCCUUGCAAAAUGUGGAUCAGCCUUUCUCAGCAAAUCCUUUGUCAUAAAGUGCUGAAUUGUAAGUUUGUCAUGAGAAUCACAUGAGAUCAUGCAUGUGAAGAACCUGGCAUUAUCCUCCUCAUAGAAAAAAACCAGUAAAUAUUAACUACAGGAAGCAAGGAAGGAGUGGGGUGAGGGGAAGAAGAAGGGGUACUGAUUUAAAAGAACCCUGGAGUCCUAAGGAUAAUCUAGGAACCCUCAGACCCAAUCCGAUACCCCUAUUCUAAAUGCUCCUAGUGCCCUGUACCUUCCCCUCAUAAGCCUUCAUUAUCAUUGUAAUGAUAUGUUUAUGUAAUAUUUUGAUUAAUGUCUCUCCUUCACUGACCUAGCAGUUCUAGCAGGGCAGUGAUUUUGCUGUGUUGCAUCCCCAGCACCUAGUCUGGUAUGUGGCAUUCAGCAUAUGUUUAUUGAAUGAAUGGCCAUGUGGUUAUUCAGAUCCUCCUUGAUUAUUGGGGUUAGGAUUGUGGCAGAAGUGGCAAAAUCAGGGAGAGUAGUCCCUGUCCCCUCUGUAUCUUAUACACUGCCCACACUCCCAACACACAUACACAUACAGAGAAUUUUGUCUCAAUUAGAUAAUUAACUUCUGCUUGGUUGUAAACCAAACCACUGGUUCUUAAACUUUCAUUGGAUCAUUUUAUUGAAGAAUUAAAUAGUGUGGUUCUGGCCUAAUGUCUGGAAAGCCUUGCAGAGGAGUGGAUUAGGUCUUUGUGAUAAACAGGCAGCCUUCCCUGCUCCUGUGUCUUUAUAAAAUCUAUUUAACUGGAGUAGUCCACCCUCCCUCAGGCUCUUACAGGAAUAUGUUGGAGGCUGUAGGAAGGUGGGAAACCGAGAGGGAAAGGACUGGGCCGCUGGAGACUUCACUCAUUCCCUAGCAAGAAACAAAAGCAGUAAAAGGUGGCCCGAGGACAACCUGAAGCUCACUCCUUCAGCACUUUUGGCUGGAGGUCACUUGUUGGAGCCCCACUCAGAGCUCAGCACACCACCCCACCAGCAGCCUCCUCCUCCCAGCUGAGGCUGCAUUUCAUCCCUUCCCCCAGCCUGCUUUCCCUGAGAUAGGGGAGUGUUUCCCAGGGCCCAUGUGACUUCCACUGGCAAGUGACGAUUACCAAUGGUUUACUAGUCAGUGAAACUACCAAAGGCUUUUGUGCUGUAGUAAUCCUUUUCCUGUUUAAAACUCUGGGGAUUUUCUAAUGUUGCCAAUAGUUUUUCAAGUCAGCAAUUACUGUGUGGAUUAUGUAAUGGCUCGGUAUUAAAAAUAGAAAAGACUGGAGUUUGCAUCUAUUUUAACCAAAUCUUGAAAACAGAGCAAAGGGAGGGGAAGGGUGGAGAGGGAGAGACCAGAGGAGGAGGGAGAAAAAGAGAUCAUGUGACUGGAUAAGACAGCUCACAAUUCACUGUGCCUUUCUCCCACCAUUUGUGGCCCAAGGACCUGUACUCCCUCCUCAGCCUCCUCUAGGGAGGGGUCCUUGAUGAGAAUUCUGAGGACACAAGACCCCUUGUGGAUAUUUCUUAGCUCAGCCUUGGUGUGCUUACCUGCUUCUGACAAGCAAAGUGGCCAAGUAGGGGAGGGAGUUGAAUCUGAUGUCCUCCACUAAGUCCAGGACUCCUAUUUUGUUUUGUUUUGUUUUUGAGACGGAGUCUUGCUCUGUCACCAGGGUGGAGUGCAGUGGCACAAUCUCGGCUCACUGCAACUUCUGCUGCCUGGGUUCAAGUGAUUCCCCUGCCUUAGCCUCCUGAGUAGCUGGGACUGCAGGUGCGCACCACCACGCCUGGCUCAUUUUUUGUAUUUUAGCAGAGAUGGGGUUUCACCAUGUUGGCCAGAAUGGUCUCAAUCUCCUGAGCUUGUGAUCCACCCACCUCAGCCUCCCCAAGUGCUAGGAUUACAGGUGUGAGCUAC
This 3435-nucleotide long non-coding RNA is filed under the name Homo sapiens (human). Its description in RNAcentral is "PREDICTED lncRNA (TCONS_00158978)". The record is from RNAcentral. Lineage: Eukaryota; Metazoa; Chordata; Mammalia; Primates; Hominidae.